AGCGGCGGACGGGUGAGUAACGCGUGGGGAACCUGCCCUAUACAGGGGGAUAACAGUUAGAAAUGACUGCUAAUACCGCAUAAGCGCACGGAGCCGCAUGGCCCUGAGUGAAAAACGAUAGUGGUAUAGGAGGGACCCGCGUCUGAUUAGGUAGUUGGUGGGGUAACGGCCCACCAAGCCGACGAUCAGUAGCCGACCUGAGAGGGUGACCGGCCACAUUGGGACUGAGACACGGCCCAAACUCCUACGGAAGGCAGCAG
Molecule: ribosomal RNA, 260 nt
Filed under: uncultured bacterium
Lineage: Bacteria
Description: partial 16S ribosomal RNA
Rfam family: Bacterial small subunit ribosomal RNA
Source: RNAcentral